UUCGGCCUUAGAGUUUGAUCCUGGCGCAAGACGAACGCUGGCGGCGUGCCUAACACGUGCAAGUGGAACGAAGCAUUUGAUUUGGGUUGAAUGCUGAGUGGGGAACGGGUGAGUAACGCGUGAGCGACCUGACCUUCAGAGGGGGACAACAGUUGGAAACGACUGCUAAUACCGCAUAAGACCACGAGCCGGGAUCGGGAUGAGGUCAAAGGAGCAAUCCGCUGAAGGAGGGGCUCGCGUCCAAUUAGAUAGUUGGCGGGGUAACGGCCCACCAAGUCGACGAUUGGUAGCCGAGCUGAGAGGCUGAUCGGCCACACUGGAACUGAGACACGGUCCAGACUCCUACGGGAGGCAGCAGUGGGGAAUAUUGGGCAAUGGGCGCAAGCCUGACCCAGCAACGCCGCGUGAGGGAAGAAGGCUUUCGGGUUGUAAACCUCUGUCCUUGGUGACGAAGAAAGUGACGGUAGCCAAGGAGGAAGCCCCGGCUAACUACGUGCCAGCAGCCGCGGUAAUUACGUAGGGGGCGAGCGUUGUCCGGAAUGACUGGGCGUAAAGGGCGUGUAGGCGGCUCUAUUAAUCCGGAGUGAAAGUCCUGCUUUUUAAGUGGGAAUUGCUUUGGAGACUGUAUAACUUUGAGUGCGGUAGAGGUAAGUGGAAUUCCCAGGUAGCGGUGGAAAUGCGUGGAGAUUGGGAGGAACACCAGGGGCGAAGGCGACUUUACGGGCCGUUAACUACGGUGGGGCGCGAAAGCGUGGGGAGCGAACAGGAUCAGAUACCCUGGUAGUCCACGCAAUAAAACGAUGGAAUGUUAGGUGUAGGGGGUAUCGACCCCUCCUGUGCCGGAGUAAACACAAUAAACAUUCCGCCUGGGGAGUACGGCCGCAAGGGUUGAAACUCAUAGGAACUGACGGGGGCCCGCACAAGCAGCGGAGCAUGUGGUUUAAUUCGACGCAACGCGAAGAACCUUACCAGGUCUUGACAUUGAAGCAAACCUGUAGAGAUACAGGGUGCCUUCGGGCAGCUGAAAACAGGUGGUGCAUGGUUGUCGUCAGCUCGUGUCGUGAGAUGUUGGGUUAAGUCCCGCAACGAGCGCAACCCUUAUUGUCAGUUACUAACGCGUGAUGGCGAGGACUCUGACGAGACUGCCGGGGACAACUCGGAGGAAGGUGGGGACGACGUCAAAUCAUCAUGCCCCUUAUGACCUGGGCUACACACGUGCUACAAUGGUGGUUACAGAGAGGAGCGAACACGUAAGUGCAAGCGGAUCUCAAAAAAGCCAUCUCAGUUUGGAGUGUGGGCUGCAACCCGCCCACACGAAGUUGGAGUUGCUAGUAAUCGCGAAUCAGAAUGUCGCGGUGAAUACAAGCCCGGGCCUUGCACUCACCGCCCGUCA
Molecule: ribosomal RNA, 1393 nt
Filed under: uncultured bacterium
Lineage: Bacteria
Description: 16S ribosomal RNA
Rfam family: Bacterial small subunit ribosomal RNA
Source: RNAcentral